Molecule: RNA transcript, 999 nt
Organism: Triticum aestivum (bread wheat)
Lineage: Eukaryota; Viridiplantae; Streptophyta; Magnoliopsida; Poales; Poaceae
Exons: 4
Source: RefSeq, a predicted model, not a curated record
AGAUAAGGAGUCCAAGACGGGGUUCGCUGUCUGAGCCGCCCCGUGCGUGAAGGCUAAAAAAAUGAAAGAUAUCUCCUUCCCUUUCCUCGCCGCCGUCAAAGACAGAAAAGGGAGACAGUUCGCCGAGGCUGCUCUAGUCGGUGGCGGCGCCGGUGCCGGAGCUUCGCCGUCUGUCAAGUACGCUGAGGGAAUGGAGUUCCUACUUGAUGUGGUCGACAGAUUCCCCGUGCAGGAGGAGUUUGCUGACAGUCUUGACCACCCAGAUCCAGUCCCACUCGUUUACCUGAUGGAGAACGGGGGUGCGAAUCCGGAGAUUGGUCAGGCAGAUUCUGGGAUGGCUGAGAUGGUGUGCGACGGUGUACUGACUGACGCUCAAGGAGGUGCCCGGCGUCGCCGUGAUGAAUCUCAUACGAGGUCUGCUCAAUCGAUUGACAGAGUUAAUCCAGAGGCCCCCGGCUGGACUAAAAGGCAUCGGCUGGGGAGCGCGCCACCGGGCCGUGUGCCCUGUCCAUCAAGAAUGAGCGCCCUCGAGCUGUCGAUUCGCAAAUAUGCAAAGCACCAUGACAAGAGCGUGGUGCGACCUGAGCUAGGUUUAAGUUUUGAUUCGCUGGGUGAGGCGUAUGAUUUCUACAACUUAUAUUCUUGAGAAAUCGGGUUUGGGAUAAGAUACGGAAAAAGCAGACUCAACGCCCAGAGGACAAAGAGCAUGCAGUUUGUGGUUGCUCGAUUGUUGACCGCCGGCGGGAGCUGCUGCACCGGGGCCUGGAUCUGCGGCUGCGCAUGCGGCUGGAUCUGGGGCUGGAUGGCAGCAUGAACCAUUUGAGCAGCCGCAUUGCCCUGAUGGACUGCAAAUCCAAGCCUGGCUGGGUGCCAUCCGGCUUGGUGCUGUGCAGCGACGAUCUGCUCAUGAGUCAUCCUCCUUCAGUACGCACGCUGGAACUCAAAGAAACCAAACUGCCGUGCCUGAAAAAAAUACAGAAAACUCAAAUGCGUCAGUCA